Molecule: transfer RNA, 73 nt
Filed under: bacterium SCSIO 12643
Lineage: Bacteria
Description: tRNA-Phe
Rfam family: tRNA
About the family: Transfer RNA (tRNA) molecules are approximately 80 nucleotides in length.
Source: RNAcentral
GGAAGAGUAGCAAAGUUGGUCAAUGCGCUGGAUUGAAAAUCCAGAGAUAAAGGUUCGAAUCCUUUCUGUUCCA